Molecule: ribosomal RNA, 279 nt
Filed under: uncultured bacterium
Lineage: Bacteria
Description: partial 16S ribosomal RNA
Rfam family: Bacterial small subunit ribosomal RNA
Source: RNAcentral
UUGAAUCUUGUUUCUUUGCUGAUUUCUGGCGGCGGGUGAGGAUGUCUGGUGAAUAGCCCGAUGGAGGGGGACCCUACUGGAAACGGUAGCUUGACCACAUAACGUCUUCGGACCAAAGAGGGGGACCUUCUGGCCUCUUGCCAUCAGAUGUGCCCAGAUGGGAUUAGCUAGUAGGUGGGGUAACGGCUCACCUAGGCGACGAUCCCAGGCUGGCCUGAAAGGUGAACCAUCCACACUGGAACUGAGACACGGUCCACAUUCCUACGGGAGGCAGCAGUG